CAGGCCCUGCCUUCGAUGAAGCCUUUAGUUCCACUAAAGGUAUGAGUAGUCGUCGGUGGGGCCGU
Molecule: non-coding RNA, 65 nt
Filed under: Ensifer sp. BR816
Lineage: Bacteria; Pseudomonadati; Pseudomonadota; Alphaproteobacteria; Hyphomicrobiales; Rhizobiaceae
Description: Ensifer sp. Br816 DUF3800-VIII RNA
Rfam family: DUF3800-VIII RNA
About the family: Bacteroidetes, Cyanobacteria, Firmicutes, Planctomycetes (1 example), Proteobacteria, Tenericutes (1 example). Nearby to DUF3800
Source: Rfam by way of RNAcentral